AGUGAACGCUGGCGGUAGGCCUAACACAUGCAAGUCGAACGGCAGCACAGUAAGAGCUUGCUCUUACGGGUGGCGAGUGGCGGACGGGUGAGGAAUACAUCGGAAUCUACUUUUUCGUGGGGGAUAACGUAGGGAAACUUACGCUAAUACCGCAUACGACCUACGGGCGAAAGCAGGGGAUCUUCGGACCUUGCGCGAUUGAAUGAGCCGAUGUCGGAUUAGCUAGUUGGCGGGGUAAAGGCCCACCAAGGCGACGAUCCGUAGCUGGUCUGAGAGGAUGAUCAGCCACACUGGAACUGAGACACGGUCCAGACUCCUACGGGAGGGAGCAGUGGGGAAUAUUGGACAAUGGGCGCAAGCCUGAUCCAGCCAUACCGCGUGGGUGAAGAAGGCCUUCGGGUUGUAAAGCCCUUUUGUUGGGAAAGAAAAGCAGCAGGUUAAUACCCCGCUGUUCUGACGGUACCCAAAGAAUAAGCACCGGCUAACUUCGUG
This 492-nucleotide ribosomal RNA is filed under the name uncultured bacterium. RNAcentral's name for it is "partial 16S ribosomal RNA". It matches the Rfam family "Bacterial small subunit ribosomal RNA", at positions 29 to 507 of the family's 1533-position model. The record is from RNAcentral.